GGAACUGUAGCUCAGCUGGUUAGAGCAGUCNNNNGUCGGCUCAUAACCGAUCGGUCCCGGGUUCAAGUCCCCGCAGUUCCA
RNAcentral lists this transfer RNA (81 nucleotides) under Oribacterium sp. RNAcentral describes it as "tRNA-Met". It matches the Rfam family "tRNA". Rfam says of the family: Transfer RNA (tRNA) molecules are approximately 80 nucleotides in length. Lineage: Bacteria; Bacillati; Bacillota; Clostridia; Lachnospirales; Lachnospiraceae. The record is from RNAcentral.